Molecule: non-coding RNA, 314 nt
Filed under: Vibrio owensii
Lineage: Bacteria; Pseudomonadati; Pseudomonadota; Gammaproteobacteria; Vibrionales; Vibrionaceae
Source: RNAcentral
AACAACAAUACUAAGUGUGUCGACAGGAUGUUGGCGGGAACAGGAAAAAAAGCCUAAAGGAUUGGGUAUCUUCAGGAUGAAGAUUUGAUAGCUUAGGAUGAGUUGUCAGCAAGGAUGUAGUUAUGCUCUAGGAUAGAGUUCGCCCGUCAGGAUGAUAGGCAAGAAUGGACACCGCUAGGAAGGCGAUGAACAAGGAACUCGGUUAAAGGACUUAGCCACAAUCAAGGAUAGAUGCAGGGAGCACCUAUUAGUAGCCGGAUUGCUGCGAAAAAGAAUAAGCCCCGUCUGGGAAACCAGGCGGGGUUUUAUUUUGC